AAUAAGUGUUUUCUUUCGUCCUGGACCAGCAGUGACUCUCCGGAGUUUUGAUUCUGACAGGAGGAGACUCAGUGAUUCACUGAGGAUUUUGGGGCUGCGAGGAGGACGAAAGGCGAAUACAAAUGCAGCAAAGGGCUUCAGCAUAGAGAGGAAUCCUGCAGGUGUAAUGGAUGGAAAGACGUGUUCCAUGAAGGAGAUGAUGAACCCCAUCUGCUGACAGUUCAUCAAUAGGUGUUUGAACGGUGGAGGGGAGGCAGCAUUAGCAGCAUGAAGCGGCAGGCCACAACACAGACGAGGCAUGUUGUCCUCUCAAAACUUGCUGAUAAUCGGGAUUCAGCCUUUGCUACUGCAGGAGCUAUUUGAGGCUUUUGCUCAGGGUGAAACAGAAAAAGUGUG
Non-coding RNA from Paralichthys olivaceus (Japanese flounder), 396 nucleotides. The record is from RefSeq and is a predicted model, not a curated record. Lineage: Eukaryota; Metazoa; Chordata; Actinopteri; Pleuronectiformes; Paralichthyidae.